This 301-nucleotide ribosomal RNA is filed under the name uncultured bacterium. RNAcentral's name for it is "partial 16S ribosomal RNA". It matches the Rfam family "Bacterial small subunit ribosomal RNA", at positions 509 to 807 of the family's 1533-position model. The record is from RNAcentral.
CAGCCGCCACGGGAAUACGAAGGGGGCUAGCGUUGUUCGGAUUUACUGGGCGUAAAGAGCGCGUAGGCGGACCGAUAAGUCAGGGGUGAAAUCCCAAGGCUCAACCUUGGAACUGCCUUUGAUACUGUUUGUCUUGAGUUCGAGAGAGGUAAGUGGAACUGCGAGUGUAGAGGUGAAAUUCGUAGAUAUUCGCAAGAACACCAGUGGCGAAGGCGGCUUACUGGCUCGAAACUGACGCUGAGGCGCGAAAGCGUGGGGAGCAAACAGGAUUAGAUACCCCUGUAGUCCCUGUCUCUUAUAC